UUAAUUUUCAUGUUGUGGCUCUUUCAUUUUCAAGCUUCAAUUCUUUCUCCUACCACCUUUCUUAUUCUUCCAUGCCUGGGUCAUAGAACUAGAUUUACCUGUCCCACAAAUGUCAUUAUCAGUAUGUAUUUUAUUUUAAGCAAGUCCAUGUCCUCAGAGGAUUCCCUCGUAUCCUGCUAAGAAGAUGCCCUCUCUCACCACUCCGAUUUAACAGAGUGUUGGAAGUUCUGGCCAGAGCAAUCAAUCAGGCAGGAGAAGGAAAUAAAGGGUAUUCAAUUAGGAAAAGAGGAAGUCAAAUUGUCCCUGUUUGCAGAUGACAUGAUUUUAUAUCUAGAAAACCCCAGUGUCUCAGCCCAAAAUCUCCUUAUGUUGAUAAGCAACUUCAGCAAAGUCUCAGGAUACAAAAUAAAUGUACAAAAAUCACAAGCAUUCUUAUACACCA
This 442-nucleotide long non-coding RNA is filed under the name Homo sapiens (human). RNAcentral's name for it is "HSALNT0056871". The record is from RNAcentral. Lineage: Eukaryota; Metazoa; Chordata; Mammalia; Primates; Hominidae.